GGGAAAUUGCGGGCCUGGCUUUACACAUGCAAGUCGAGCGGUAAGGCCCUUCGGGGUACACGAGCGGCGAACGGGUGAGUAACACGUGAGCAACCUGCCCCUGACUCUGGGAUAAGCCGUGGAAACGCGGUCUAAUACCGGAUACGACACCUUGCUGCAUGGCGGGGUGUGGAAAGUUUUUUCGGUUGGGGAUGGGCUCGCGGCCUAUCAGCUUGUUGGUGGGGUAACGGCCUACCAAGGCGAUUACGGGUAGCCGGCCUGAGAGGGCGACCGGCCACACUGGGACUGAGACACGGCCCAGACUCCUGCGGGAGGCAGCAGUGGGGAAUCUUGCGCAAUGGGCGAAAGCCUGACGCAGCGACGCCGCGUGGGGGAUGACGGCCUUCGGGUUGUAAACCUCUUUUACCACUCACGCAGGCCGGGGGUUUUCUCCCGGUUGACGGUAGGUGGGGAAUAAGGACCGGCUAACUACGUGCCAGCAGCCGCGGUAAUACGUAGGGUCCGAGCGUUGUCCGGAAUUAUUGGGCGUAAAGAGCUCGUAGGCGGCGUGUCGCGUCUGCUGUGAAAGACCGGGGCUUAACUCCGGUUUUGCAGUGGAUACGGGCAUGCUAGAGGUAGGUAGGGAGACUGGAAUUCCUGGUGUAGCGGUGAAAUGCGCAGAUAUCAGGAGGAACACCGGUGGCGAAGGCGGGUCUCUGGGCCUUACCUGACGCUGAGGAGCGAAAGCGUGGGGAGCGAACAGGAUUAGAUACCCUGGUAGUCCACGCCGUAAACGUUGGGCGCUAGGUGUGGGGACUUUCCACGGUCUCCGUGCCGCAGCUAACGCAUUAAGCGCCCCGCCUGGGGAGUACGGCCGCAAGGCUAAAACUCAAAGGAAUUGACGGGAAAGGCCCGCACAAGCGGCGGAGCAUGUUGCUUAAUUCGACGCAACGCGAAGAACCUUACCAAGGUUUGACAUCGCCGGUAAACCGCCAGAGAUGGUGGGUCCUUCGGGGAUCGGUGACAGGUGGUUUGCAUGGCUGUCGUCAGCUCGUGUCGUGAGAUGUUGGGUUAAGUCCCGGGCAACGAGCGCAACCCUUGUUCCAUGUUGCCAGCACGUAGUGGUGGGGACUCAUGGGAGACUGCCGGGGUCAACUCGGAGGAAGGUGGGGAUGACGUCAAGUUUCAUCAUGCCCCUUAUGUCUUGGGCUG
RNAcentral lists this ribosomal RNA (1191 nucleotides) under Nocardiopsis sp. RNAcentral's name for it is "bacterial SSU rRNA". It matches the Rfam family "Bacterial small subunit ribosomal RNA", at positions 26 to 1216 of the family's 1533-position model. The record is from RNAcentral. Lineage: Bacteria; Bacillati; Actinomycetota; Actinomycetes; Streptosporangiales; Nocardiopsidaceae.